Molecule: ribosomal RNA, 465 nt
Filed under: Vreelandella stevensii
Lineage: Bacteria; Pseudomonadati; Pseudomonadota; Gammaproteobacteria; Oceanospirillales; Halomonadaceae
Description: partial 16S ribosomal RNA
Rfam family: Bacterial small subunit ribosomal RNA
Source: RNAcentral
CCUACGGGUGGCUGCAGUGGGGAAUAUUGGACAAUGGGGGCAACCCUGAUCCAGCCAUGCCGCGUGUGUGAUGAAGGCCCUCGGGUUGUAAAGCACUUUCAGUGAGGAAGAACGCCUGGUGGUUAAUACCCAUCAGGAAAGACAUCACUCACAGAAGAAGCACCGGCUAACUCCGUGCCAGCAGCCGCGGUAAUACGGAGGGUGCGAGCGUUAAUCGGAAUUACUGGGCGUAAAGCGCGCGUAGGUGGCUUGAUAAGCCGGUUGUGAAAGCCCCGGGCUCAACCUGGGAACGGCAUCCGGAACUGUCAAGCUAGAGUGCAGGAGAGGAAGGUAGAAUUCCCGGUGUAGCGGUGAAAUGCGUAGAGAUCGGGAGGAAUACCAGUGGCGAAGGCGGCCUUCUGGACUGACACUGACACUGAGGUGCGAAAGCGUGGGUAGCAAACAGGAUUAGAUACCCUGGUAGUC